UCCAAAUAGCCAGCCAUAAUCUUAACAGGUUUAAUGUUAGUCAGUGCUUGGCUGUUAUCUAUCAGAACUGUCCCCCCUUUCCCCUUUGAUUAACUUUUGAAUGCUGAAGUUUUUCAUAAAACUUUGGUCAAUGGAUAUUUACAGGUUUUUUUAAACUGGACUGCAUGACCUAGUGAUUGUUUUAUCCCUUCAGUGAUCUCACCUACUCUAAAAUUUCCAAAAAAUGCCACGCUAUAAGCAGCUGCAAAUAAUUUUGCUUUAUCGUUAUCAGUACAUACAAUUGGUAAUACUUUCAAAAUGUUUCGCAAGAUUUUUGUUGUUAUUGGUAAUCUAAUAUCCUUGGUCUUAGAUUUUCUUCUAUAACCUUCUAUUAACUUUUUGACUAUGAAGUUUUGAGUUACAUCUGUGUAAUUGUUUAACGUAAAAGAUAAUAUGCGAUUCCUGACAUAUAAGUCCUUGCUAUUGAUUCCCCCCAAACCCUUCACUGACAUGUAGCCUAUGAAUUGUACAAUUUGCUCCAAUGGAGGAGGACAAAGCUUUUCCAGGAUGAAAUCAACUCAAAAUUCAUCAAAAGAAGUCAACGCUUGUUUGCGAAGAUAACGAACAGUGACCAACCCCACAACCCCCACAAGCAAUACAAAAUAGGCAGUUGGGCAAACACGGACCCCUGGACACACCAGAGGUGGGAUCAGGUGCCUAGGAGGAGCAAGCAUCCCCUGUCGACCGAAUGCUUUUUUUCAAUUGACACAAAGGAAAGUAACAAUUACUAAUACUGGAUGGUGUUGUAUUUGAGAGCAAUGUGUUGAGAAUUAUGUACACAUAAAAAUGAAAAGAACCAUUGUUUAUAAAAUUUGAUCGUAACUAUUUCGCAUUUACCUUAACAUCAAUGUUAUCUUCAUUUACUCGUUUUCUACAUUUCUGAAUAUAUGUCUCCUUAGAUAAUCUAUGGGUAAAUGUGUCUAUACAAAACUAAGAAUUGUAAAAUGCAAAAGACAUUUCGAAAGGCAUAAGUACGUAACCAUUUUUCUUAUGGAAAUUAAUUGAUGUCUCGUUUUUCUGUUCAACGCAAGCAAACACUAAAUGACCAUCUUUAACUAGUUUUCCAGCGAGUGUCCUCGUGACAACGCUUCCUAAAUUUGCUCUCCUAUAUUCAGGUUCCACGUACAACAUCCCAAUCCCGCCAUAUUCUUGUUGAAGUUGCCAGGCGACAAGUCGACCAUCCUCGGUCUCGAUACCGACGGUGUGGAAAUUAGAGAUAUGAUACCUCAUCCAACACCCUAGGUCUCCAUAUUGGUCAUAUUCGCCUUUCGGAUCCCACGACUUGCAAACAUUCUCUACAUGAGAUUGCGAUUGAUUUAAUAGAGAUAUUUUGAAUCCAUCUGGAAUUUCUCUGAAAACAACGAGCAUCCAUUGAUAACAAUCACCUUAUCAUGAUAACUCCAAAUACGGGGCAUCAUAUCCAAAAGUGAAAAAUUGGCUCAUUGUCCGGUAAUCAAUAAGUAAAUUGUCAAAUAAAAUAUGUUAUAUAUAU
Long non-coding RNA from Ostrea edulis (European flat oyster), 1531 nucleotides. RefSeq lists it as uncharacterized. Lineage: Eukaryota; Metazoa; Mollusca; Bivalvia; Ostreida; Ostreidae. The record is from RefSeq and is a predicted model, not a curated record. The transcript has 2 exons.